UGGGGAUGGGCUUUUUAAUUUGUUAACUGGGUCAGGUUUUUUUUAUAUUGGCUGUAUAAGUCAUGCUUUAGUCAAAUCAGAGACUCUAAAAUUGGUACUCCAAAAGGAAGAGACUGGUGGUCACUGCGGCCAUUUGUUUCGGUGAACUAGCACCUUAAAGUCCAGAUAACCCUCAGGCCAGCUGGCUAGUACAUUAGCAGACAGGUACUUUUGUACCAUUUGGC
RNAcentral lists this long non-coding RNA (224 nucleotides) under Mytilus galloprovincialis (Mediterranean mussel). The record is from RNAcentral. Lineage: Eukaryota; Metazoa; Mollusca; Bivalvia; Mytilida; Mytilidae.